RNAcentral lists this ribosomal RNA (495 nucleotides) under uncultured bacterium. RNAcentral's name for it is "partial 16S ribosomal RNA". It matches the Rfam family "Bacterial small subunit ribosomal RNA", at positions 30 to 507 of the family's 1533-position model. The record is from RNAcentral.
UGAACGCUGGCGGCGUGCCUAAUACAUGCACGUCGAGCGAACAGACGAGGAGCUUGCUCCUCUGACGUUAGCGGCGGACGGGUGAGUAACACGUGGAUAACCUACCUAUAAGACUGGGAUAACUUCGGGAAACCGGAGCUAAUACCGGAUAAUAUAUUGAACCGCAUGGUUCAAUAGUGAAAGACGGUUUUGCUGUCACUUAUAGAUGGAUCCGCGCCGCAUUAGCUAGUUGGUAAGGUAACGGCUUACCAAGGCAACGAUGCGUAGCCGACCUGAGAGGGUGAUCGGCCACACUGGAACUGAGACACGGUCCAGACUCCUACGGGAGGCAGCAGUAGGGAAUCUUCCGCAAUGGGCGAAAGCCUGACGGAGCAACGCCGCGUGAGUGAUGAAGGUCCUCGGAUCGUAAAACUCUGUUAUUAGGGAAGAACAAAUGUGUAAGUAACUAUGCACGUCUUGACGGUACCUAAUCAGAAAGCCACGGCUAACUACGUG